GAUGAACGCUGGCGGCGUGCCUAAUACAUGCAAGUCGAGCGAACAGAUGAGGAGCUUGCUCCUCUGACGUUAGCGGCGGACGGGUGAGUAACACGUGGAUAACCUACCUAUAAUACUGGGAUAACUUCGGGAAACCGGAGCUAAUACUGGAUAAUAUAUUGAACCGCAUGGUUCAAUAGUGAAAGACGGUUUUGCUGUCACUUAUAGAUGGAUCCGCGCCGCAUUAGCUAGUUGGUAAGGUAACGGCUUACCAAGGCAACGAUGCGUAGCCGACCUGAGAGGGUGAUCGGCCACACUGGAACUGAGACACGGUCCAGACUCCUACGGGAGGCAGCAGUAGGGAAUCUUCCGCAAUGGGCGAAAGCCUGACGGAGCAACGCCGCGUGAGUGAUGAAGGUCUUCGGAUCGUAAAACUCUGUUAUUAGGGAAGAACAAAUGUGUAAGUAACUAUGCACGUCUUGACGGUACCUAAUCAGAAAGCCACGGCUAACUACGUG
Molecule: ribosomal RNA, 497 nt
Filed under: uncultured bacterium
Lineage: Bacteria
Description: partial 16S ribosomal RNA
Rfam family: Bacterial small subunit ribosomal RNA
Source: RNAcentral